UACGGAGGGUGCGAGCGUUGUCCGGAAUCACUGGGCGUAAAGGGCGCGUAGGCGGCUCAGGCAAGCGGGCGGUGAAAGCCCGGGGCUCAACCCCGGGUCGGCCGUGCGAACUGCGGAGCUGGAGCACUGUAGGGGCAGAUGGAAUUCCGGGUGUAGCGGUGGAAUGCGUAGAGAUCCGGAAGAACACCGGUGGCGAAGGCGGUCUGCUGGGCAGUGGCUGACGCUGAGGCGCGACAGCGUGGGGAGCAAACAGG
This 254-nucleotide ribosomal RNA is filed under the name uncultured bacterium. Its description in RNAcentral is "partial 16S ribosomal RNA". It matches the Rfam family "Bacterial small subunit ribosomal RNA", at positions 524 to 776 of the family's 1533-position model. The record is from RNAcentral.